Molecule: non-coding RNA, 29 nt
Filed under: Homo sapiens (human)
Lineage: Eukaryota; Metazoa; Chordata; Mammalia; Primates; Hominidae
Source: RNAcentral
UGAGAAGAAGGAGAUUGUGGUGUGAAUGU